Ipomoea nil (Japanese morning glory) is the source of this 1847-nucleotide RNA transcript. RefSeq lists it as uncharacterized. NCBI's taxonomy places the organism in Eukaryota, Viridiplantae, Streptophyta, Magnoliopsida, Solanales, Convolvulaceae. The transcript is spliced from 6 exons. The record is from RefSeq and is a predicted model, not a curated record.
UUUCUGCUGUUCUAUAUUAACUCUCCAAUGCCCUUCAGUUGCAUCACCACUUCAAUUUCUCUCAACAUUAAUACUCUGCCGCUUGACCUGCAAGUUUGGUGGAGAAGUAGAAGCAUGGUGCUCUAUGGAGGCCGUCGUCCGGGAAGAAGCAUGGUGCGUCUAUGGAGGCCGUCGUCCGGGAAGAAGCAUGGUGCGUCUUGGAGGCCGUCGUCCAGGAACCUGCAGAAGCAUGGUGCGUCCACCCUUAUCUCAAAUUCCAAGACACUUUCGGGACCGUCGACCUCGAGCAGACCUGGAGGAGAACGGAGCAGAUCUGAAGGAGAACGAAGUAGAUCUGGAGGAGAACGGACCAGAUCUGAAGGAGAACGAAGCAUAUCUGGAGGAGAACGGAGUAGAUCUGGAGGAGAAUGGAGCAGAUCUGGUACGUAUCAUCCUCCGAGGUCAGCAGGUCCGCAGCGUCGCCAAGUAUGGUUGUCCUUUCAGCGUCGCAAAGUAUGGUUUGAGGUCCCAGGUUCCACCGCCGUUGCCAUAGCCACUGCUCCGUCGCCACCAGCAGUCGCCGUUGAAGUCGCCAAGUAUUUUGAGUUUCUGUUUCAGUUUCUACAAGUGUUUCCGUCAAGCGGCGCCCCAAACAUUCAUCAUCAGCCAGGCGAACAGAAGACGGGAAAACAACAGAUCCGACGUCCUCCAUGUCUGGCGUGACUGUUUUCUGGCAGAACAAAGUAGAUACGGCGGUAGGUCGGCUUGGUGGUUUGUUUUCCGGGCGAGUGGAGCAGCUCUGACAGGUAGUCAGUUUUCCUCCGGUGACCUUAACCCCUUCUCCGACAGUGGAGCUCUUCCGGCGUUGCAGUUUGGACGGCGGGAAUGAAGCCUGGUGUGCUUUGAUAUGUCCCAGUCUGUGACAGUAAUAACAUCUUAUUCUUCUUCGGUGUUGAAAGUGGUGUUGAAAGUGAUGUUGUGACACUUCUGGACUUUCGUUUGCAAGACUUUCUCUAGAAGCUGGGUCUGGUACUUUGGUCUUUGAAUAUGUUGCACAUUCAGACUGAAUGUGUCCAAAUCCUUUGCACUUAUAACAUUGUAUUCCUUCAAGCUUUCUUGUGCUGCAGCAUCUCAAGUUCAUAUGUUUGAAGAUUUCUCAUUAAAUCACUGAGUUUGCAGGUUCAGGGAUGGGUUCCCCUAGGUUGAAUGCAUCCACAGUAAUCCCUAACACUCUUGUAUUAAAUUGAGUGAUAUCUUCAUCCUACUCUUUAAGUUCUCAAAUUGAGUUUGAAUCAUUUGUAGCUUGGAUUGCUUAACAGAUGUAUUUCCUUCGUGAUGAUCACAUAAUAUAUCUCAUGCAAUCUUUGCUAUACUAGUGGUGGCGAUUAGUUUGAAGGUUUCUUCACUCACGGCUCCAUAGAUGGCAUUCAUGGCUUUUGAAUUCUGAUUAUAUUCCCUUCGUUCUUCUUCACUCUCGUCUGUUUUAGGUUAUUGAUUACCUUUAUCAUCAACUGGAUUUUUCCAUUCUUUCUCAACGGCUCCCCAGACUCCUUCACCUUGUGCUAAUAUGUAUAUUUUCAUCCUAGCUUUCCAGUAAGAGAAAUUUGUACCAAUUAGGGCAGGGGGCCUGGUGUUUGACAGUCCUUCAAUUCUUUCCUGAAAUUACACAAUAGAAUUAUCUUUCCUACCAAAAUAUUGUAACCUAAACACAUGUACUACUUUCUAGGGAAAUUUAGAAUACUCUCAAAAACUCUUAGGCCUCACAGAAUAAGCUAGGGAAUUCACAAGUUCUGGUGAUCGGAUGGGAGGUCUUUAUAUAGCUAAUUAAUCUUUAUACACCCAUAGAAGAAUUAUUCCUACUUUGUUUA